AGUAACGCGUAAGAACUUGCCCUUUAGACUGGGAUAACAGAGGGAAACUUCUGAUAAUACUGGAUAAGUUAGUAUAUCGCAUGAUAUGCAAAUGAAAGCUACGGCACUAAAGGAGAGCUUUGCGUCCUAUUAGCUAGUUGGUAAGGUAAGAGCUUACCAAGGCGAUGAUAGGUAGCCGGCCUGAGAGGGUGGACGGCCACAAGGGGACUGAGAUACGGCCCUUACUCCUACGGGAGCAGCAGAA
RNAcentral lists this ribosomal RNA (244 nucleotides) under uncultured Leptotrichia sp. Its description in RNAcentral is "partial 16S ribosomal RNA". It matches the Rfam family "Bacterial small subunit ribosomal RNA", at positions 109 to 354 of the family's 1533-position model. Lineage: Bacteria; Fusobacteriati; Fusobacteriota; Fusobacteriia; Fusobacteriales; Leptotrichiaceae. The record is from RNAcentral.